This 1798-nucleotide long non-coding RNA is filed under the name Apteryx owenii (little spotted kiwi). Its description in RNAcentral is "lncRNA (ENSAOWG00000001060.1)". The record is from RNAcentral. Lineage: Eukaryota; Metazoa; Chordata; Aves; Apterygiformes; Apterygidae.
CCCACUUGGCUUGUCACCCCUUUCAGUUCAUCUAGAGACUAAGCAGGUAGGAGGAAGUAAUCUCUAAAAGCGUAAGUGAAACCUCCCAUCGAGGGUGUGCACAAGCGAGCUGGAUGGGCAGGAGGAAAUAUUUGCAUUUACCUCAUCAAAACCUGAGUAUAAAUAGGCUGGAAAAUGUGAGACUUUCUCAAUUCCCAGGUGCAGGUGUGCGAAGCAGAGACAUCAAAGUGGAUCAUGGCCUCUCUCCUCUUCAUGCUGCAACUCCUCUUCCUUGGGACUCUAAUCGUCCCGGCAUAUUUGCAGAUGCAAGGAUGCGAUUUCCUCCCAAACGCGAUGGCAGGCAAUUUCUCCCUAUCUGUGAUACCUGAGACAUAUGCGGCGAACACAACCUACACAGUUCAAGUAAGUGACAGCAGAAACUUAACUGGUGAGAAAAAUGUGAUUGCGGUUUUGCUGCAAGCCUUAUCCUCCCAAAACAUUUCCGUGGGAGAAUGGAAGGACACAGGCCAUGAAAACUGCAGUGGUAUUUCUACAGCAGUAGUAAAUGCCACUAACACAACAGCAAAUUGGACAUCCCCAAGCAGUAACAUCACUUCUGUGGAAAUAAGGGCAUAUAUCCUCUUUUCUGAUAACACCACUGAGCUCAACAUGGUGACUCUGAAUGAAAAAGAGGCGAACGCGACGACAGCACCACCAACCAGCACCCCCAACUCCAUCUCUGCGGUUCAGAGUAGCACCAUCUUUGUAGCCGUCGCACAAGUGGUGCUGCUGUUUGUCACAAGCAAACUGCUCUCCUAGAAGUCGGGGAGAGGAAACGACCCGGCUGUGCUGCACCUUUCCUCCUUGCCUUCAGCACGUGUGGGAGGGCGGGCAGCUGAUCUACUCAGGAAAACUAUUUUCUUCAUGUAUUAGGAUGAUGACUGCACCUCUACAUUAAAUUAUAAAGGUCUGUUUGACCAGAGAGCUGAUCCUUCCCUUAUUCCCCUCAUCCAGGGCCAGCACACUUGGUAAGAUGAAAAAUUUCAUAGCAAGUCAGAGCUCACUCUGUUCAGAGCAGCUAGAAAAGCACCGCGUCGCCGAGAGCGGGUCCCCGAUAACCAAGGGGCGCCACGCGAGUUAAUUCCUCCCUCAUCACCUGGGCUUCUGUGAAGCAUGAAAAAAGCAUGAAAAUGCCUGCGAGAGGGCAAAGGCCCUCCUCUCGUCAGGGUACUGGCGUCUGUUGAGAAGCUCCAGGAGAAGCCUGCUCUCAGCUGUGUGGCCUGGGACCCACGCUCACAGCCUGUGUGCACGAGAGUGAGUGUUGGCGUGUGCGCACACCUCAACGGCAGUGUCGCACAGUCGCCCGUGGUGUGGUAAUCAAAACAGGGAGACGAAUCGGGAAUGGGGGGGAGGAAGGGGAAAUACGGGUUUCAGAUUCACCUGACUCAGCCAAGUUAAAACCUCCAGGGCAUGCACAGAAGAAAUAGAUGUGCCCACCAACCCUUCCCAAGACAAGCCGGAGAUCCUGCUGGCAGGGUAUCCUCCACAAAGGCCCUGGGCCUUGCGAGCUUAUUUUUCAUACUGCUCUUUAGUCCAGCAUCACCUGAAUCUUGUUAUUUCUCUGGAUGCCCUGUAAGGUUCCCCUGUUCUUGUUCUGGAAUGGGCGGGUGGGUAUUUUUUUUUUUUUUUUAAAUCAACAGCUGAUUUUGCUUUAGGGCAAGAUUGGAUGGGCCACUGAAUGUCUUGAUUUUAUUAUAUUUGUUUGUAUUUUUAUAAGGAUAAUGUUUAUCUGGGAAUUUUCAAGCUUCUGGAAGGUAAU